UUUCCGUAGGUGAACCUGCGGAAGGAUCAUUGUCGAAACCUGCCCAGCAGAACGACCCGCGAACUUGUAUAAACAACCGGGGGCGGGGGGCGUUCUCGCCCCGUGCCCCCGAACGGCGGGGAGACACUCGUGCCUUCUUGCCGAACAACGAACCCCGGCGCAGUCUGCGCCAAGGAACUUCAACUAAAGAGUGCCUCCGGUCGCCUCGGAAACGGCGUGCGUGCCGGGGGCGAAUCUUGUGCAAAACCAUAACGACUCUCGGCAACGGAUAUCUCGGCUCUC
Molecule: unclassified non-coding RNA, 282 nt
Filed under: plant metagenome
Description: partial contains small subunit ribosomal RNA, internal transcribed spacer 1, and 5.8S ribosomal RNA
Source: RNAcentral